UCGUAACAAGGUUUCCGUAGGUGAACCUGCGGAAGGAUCAUUACCGAGUGAGGGCCCUCUGGGUCCAACCUCCCACCCGUGUCUAUCGUACCUUGUUGCUUCGGCGGGCCCGCCGUUUCGACGGCCGCCGGGGAGGCCUUGCGCCCCCGGGCCCGCGCCCGCCGAAGACCCCAACAUGAACGCUGUUCUGAAAGUAUGCAGUCUGAGUUGAUUAUCGUAAUCAGUUAAAACUUUCAACAACGGAUCUCUUGGUUCCGGCAUCGAUGAAGAACGCAGCGAAAUGCGAUAAGUAAUGUGAAUUGCAGAAUUCAGUGAAUCAUCGAGUCUUUGAACGCACAUUGCGCCCCCUGGUAUUCCGGGGGGCAUGCCUGUCCGAGCGUCAUUGCUGCCCUCAAGCACGGCUUGUGUGUUGGGCCCCCGUCCCCCUCUCCCGGGGGACGGGCCCGAAAGGCAGCGGCGGCACCGCGUCCGGUCCUCGAGCGUAUGGGGCUUUGUCACCUGCUCUGUAGGCCCGGCCGGCGCCAGCCGACACCCAACUUUAUUUUUCUAAGGUUGACCUCGGAUCAGGUAGGGAUACCCGCUGAACUUAAGCAUAUCAAUAAA
Molecule: unclassified non-coding RNA, 603 nt
Filed under: Pichia fermentans
Lineage: Eukaryota; Fungi; Ascomycota; Pichiomycetes; Pichiales; Pichiaceae
Description: sequence contains 18S rRNA gene, ITS1, 5.8S rRNA gene, ITS2, 28S rRNA gene
Rfam family: 5.8S ribosomal RNA (bases 229-382)
Source: RNAcentral